RNAcentral lists this ribosomal RNA (1146 nucleotides) under human gut metagenome. RNAcentral's name for it is "bacterial LSU rRNA". It matches the Rfam family "Bacterial large subunit ribosomal RNA", at positions 831 to 1995 of the family's 2925-position model. The record is from RNAcentral.
AAUCGAACACGGAUAUAGCUGGUUCUCUCCGAAAUAGCUUUAGGGCUAGCCUCGAUGGCAAGUCUACUGGAGGUAGAGCACUGAAUGGGUGAUGGCCCCACCUCGGGGUACUGAUCUCAAUCAAACUCCGAAUGCCAGAUAGAUAUCAUCGGGAGUCAGACUGUGGGUGAUAAGGUCCAUGGUCAAAAGGGAAAGAGCCCAGACCGCCAGCUAAGGCCCCCAAGUGUCCGUUAAGUGGAAAAGGAUGUGGAGAUGCACAGACAACUAGGAGGUUGGCUUAGAAGCAGCCAUCCUUUAAAGAGUGCGUAAUAGCUCACUAGUCGAGUGACUCUGCGCCGAAAAUGUACCGGGGCUAAACGGACCGCCGAAGCUGCGGAUUGACACUUAGGUGUCAGUGGUAGGAGAGCGUUCUAACAGCGGAGAAGCAGUACCGGAAGGAGCUGUGGAGCGGUUAGAAGUGAGAAUGCCGGUGUGAGUAGCGAAAGAUAGGUGAGAAUCCUAUCCAUCGAAAGCCUAAGGUUUCCAGGGGAAGGCUCGUCCGCCCUGGGUAAGUCGGGACCUAAGGUGAGGCCGAAAGGCGUAGCCGAUGGACAACAGGUUGAUAUUCCUGUACCACUUAUUAAACUGAUGGAGUGACGGAGAAGGCUAAGUUGAGCGUGUUAAUGGAUUCACGUGUAAGCAGUGAGGUGGUCAUGUAGGCAAAUCCGCAUGGCAUAACAUUGAGCUGUGAUGCCGAAGCCGUAUGGCGAAGUCAACUGAUGUCACGCUUCCAAGAAAAGCUUCUAGGGUUAAUUUAGUAAGUGCCCGUACCGAUAACCGACACAGGUAGGCGAGGAGAGAAUCCUAAGAUGAGCGAGAGAACUCUUGUUAAGGAACUCGGCAAAAUGACCCCGUAACUUCGGGAGAAGGGGUGCUUGUGAAAGCAAGCCGCAGUGAAUAGGCCCAGGCGACUGUUUAUCAAAAACACAGGUCUCUGCUAAACCGCAAGGUGAUGUAUAGGGGCUGACGCCUGCCCGGUGCUGGAAGGUUAAGAGGAGAGGUUAGCGCAAGCGAAGCUUUGAAUUGAAGCCCCAGUAAACGGCGGCCGUAACUAUAACGGUCCUAAGGUAGCGAAAUUCCUUGUCGGGUAAGUUCCGACCCGCACGA